Molecule: long non-coding RNA, 3665 nt
Filed under: Homo sapiens (human)
Lineage: Eukaryota; Metazoa; Chordata; Mammalia; Primates; Hominidae
Description: HSALNT0158321
Source: RNAcentral
CACCACACGCGGGCCGUGGCGUGGGGACAGCCCGGUAGUGGGAACGGCUCUGGACACUCACGUCGGGGAUGUGGCAGAGGCCUUGGGGUGGGCUCUGGACUCUCACAUCGGAGAUGUGGCAGAGGCCUCGGGUGGGCGUGCACAGGAAAGGCAUUGGCCUCAAGUACUCCGUGGACCUGGCUGGCCCUGCCCGCCGCACUCCUUCACACAGGUUCUUUAUUGCCAUUGUCCCCGCCCGCAUCAAAGGAUCCCAGCAUGCUUCCCACAGCCUGGAAUUCCUUUGCUGGGAAUGGGAGACAAAGCCAUACUUUCUAUCAUCAGAGAGGAAAGGCCCAAAAUGCAAACAUGCAGCCAGAGAGAGGCUGUGGCAGGCAGGAGUUUCUGAGUAGGGAGUGUCAGAUCCCCUCCUACUGAGUGCCACUUUCCCUUCUGAGACAGCAUGGGAGCCGUCAGCCUACGAACUGGAGAGAACUCCAGGAAGGAGCCCUUUUCUUCCUGCAAUGAGGGCAACCGGAAGCUGUGGCCACGGCACCUGCUGUCCCCGGAGCCUGGGCACCGACGUAAGGGAGGAAGGCGGCGCCUCCCUUUUCCCCUGCCCUGGCCACAGGAGCCUCAGGAUUGACAGCUCAUCUGCGGGUAGGUCUGCCCAGGGAGGGGUCGCUGCAUAAGGGGUCUGUAGCCCCUGGGGCCCUGGGGUCCCUACCCUUGGUCACCUGCAGGCAUAAGUCGCUCCUUUCCUCUUCAGCUCUGGGGUGUGGUCCAGAAGUAGUGGACUGAACUAAGCAGCACAAUGGUCAGCAUCACCUGGGACUCCGCCUAGAAUGCUAGAAAUGCGCAUUCUUGCCCCCAAUCCCCACAAGACUUACUCAGUUAGAAACUCGGGAAACAAUCAGUGUGCCCAGCCCUCCAGGUGGGUGGUUCCGAUAUCUGUUCAGGUUUGAGAACCUUUGUGCUCAGGACCUCCGGUUACCAAAUCAUGCCACUUACGGUGACCAUUCUCAAAAGAUGGCAGAAGGAAGAAGGAUGAGGAAGACUUGAGCCUGGCCGGGCAAUCCUUGGUUUCCUCAUGAACCCUUGCAAUCGGGUUACAUUUUGAACAUCACUGGGACAUGCUAAGAACUCCUCUGGAGCACAGCAGUGCUCACAUCAAUAGUCCAGCAGAUUGAGCACGGAGAUGUCAGCAGACACACUUGCAAGUUUGGUCUGAAAACCAGAGGGACCGUGCCCACGAUCCCCGCCGUUUCCCUGACCAGCACGGCUGUGGCGAGUUCGUUGUUCAAUCCCGGAUGGCUCAGCAAAUCCAACCCCCUCCGCCCUGUUCUAUCGCCGCAUGGAUCUGCAGAGGCAGCCGUUCCUGCCGGGUGGAUUUGCCUUCCGCGAAGGACAACACAGAACCACUCUGAGUUAUUUGACACUGACAUCGAUCCUAGUUGGCUGACUCUGGUUGGUGGUGAGAGGACAAAUGUUCCCAGGGACUAUUAAACAACCACAAAAAUCUGAGAGGGCGGUUAUCUGAACAUGGAACAGAAACAAGACAGUAACGAGUUCCAAUGUUCUUUUUUUUUUCUACACAGGAUUCAAACGAACUCAGAGUAGCGAGAUCAGAAUACAUGAAUCUGACCUGUUUUUACUCACAACACCUCUGAUACCAAGUGCGUGGGUUUUUUUCACACCGAAAACCAGUUCUCCCAACUCUCCAGACACCAACUGGGUGGCCUACGAUUCCGUUCAAACGUGACACUAACUCCACAGGCUCCGAGGCUCAGUCCCUCAGGACUGCCCUGAGUUCAGACGCCAGCCUCCUGACUCCAGCCCAGGGUACCCACACUUCUGUCCAACUUGGCUACAAAGUUGGGGGUUUCCUACAUUCCCCCCACCCUCCCUCCCAGUUUCACAUUCAGUAAUUUGCUAGAACAGCUCACAGAACUCAGGAAGGCACUUUACUGGUACUGGUUUAUUAUUAAUAUAAAGCAUUGGACUCAGAACAGCCAGAUGGAAAAGAUGCUUAGGACGAGGUGAGGGGGGUGGAAGGCCAAGGGGCUUCCUCAUCCUCUCCAGGCUGCCACCCCUCCCAACACACCUCCAUGUGUUCACCAACCCAGAAAUUCUCCACAUUUUUUUUUUUGAGUCAGCGUCUUGCUCUGUCACCCAGGCUGGAGCGCAGUGGCACGGUCUCGGCUCACUGCAACCUCUGCUUCCUGGGUUCAAGCAAUUCUCCUGCCUCAGCCUCCCGAGCAGCUGGGAUGACAAGUGUCUGCCACAUGUCUGGCUAAUUUUUGUACCUUUAGUAGAGACGGGGUUUCACCAUGUUGACCAGGCUGGUCUCAAACUCCUGACCUCCAGUGAUCCACCCACCUCGGCCUCCCAGUGCUGGGAUUACAGGUGUGAGCCACCCUGCCUGGCUCACAUUCUGUCAUUUGGGGCUCUUUUUUUUUUUUUUUUUGGAUUCAUUAUGUAGGCAUGAUUGAUUAAUCACUGGCUGUUGGUGAUUAACUUAAUCUCCAGCCCCUCUCCCCUCCCCAAAGGUCAGAGGUCUGAGCUGAAAGUUCUGACUAAUUCCAGCUCCCAGCCCCCAUCCUGGAGCUGCCCAGUCCUCUCACUGACAUUCAAAAAACACUCAUCCCUCUGGAGAUCCCAAGGGUUUUGGAAGCUCUGGACCAGAAAACAGGAUCAAAGACCAAAUAUGCAGCCACGGCCCCAUCCACCUCUGAGGGCAUGUGCUCUGGCCUUACUAUGACGGCGGCGGUGGCGAGUCUGAUACAGGCGGGAUGAUGCACGCUUUAUCUGGAACCCUUGGCCUUGGAUAAAAUUUGUCUUCUGUAGCAGUUACGUCCAUGGAGCUAAGUCCAGGUCCACCUGCCAUUGCAAUUAUGGCAGGGAAAAGGACAGAGGGAGCUGACGAUUACACCUAACUUUGGAUUUGGGGCACCCUUCUGUUCCCCCACUUCCUGCUUCGCUGACACUCACACCCCCAAAGGCGGUGGCGCAGAAGCUGAAAUCAGGGCUCAGGACUCCAUCUACAGCCAGGCCCACGAGCAGGGUCUGUUCUGAAGGCUCCACCAGCAGCUGUGUCCCAAGCCAACUGGCAAGACACCGUCCCACCCGACAGUGGCUUCCUCCCCGUGGCGUCAUCUCCCUUCCAAAGAGGGAGGAAUUUGGACUAUUACCCACGAACGAUAGCAGGCUAAGAAACAAAUUAUGAUUACGAAAGAUUAAAGAAAAAAAAAACCACCCACACCUACUGGCUGUACCUUUCCUGCAUGAUUUUUGCCACCGCAUGGGAAGCGGGCCAAUUGCUAUUUGCCUGGGUGUUUUAAAUAUCAGGAGAUCAGGAGAUUUGCUCCUGACAUAAUUUUUUUUCGAAGUGCAACAGAAAAUAGCACUUUUCACAACAAUUAACUGUUAACUGGCUCCAAAGAAGGUCUGCUUGUUAGACAUUAGGGAGGAAUAGAAGGCAUCUUCUCAGAUGUUGGCCUUUGCGGAGGCAAGGUCAGUGGUGCCGGGAGGUGACUCCCUGCAUUUCCGUAUGUCCGUUUCUUAAGUCGCACUAUUACUUCCCUUGAGUAAGGGACGUAAUAUUGAGUAAUAUUUAUUGAGCUGUGUGUGAGAGACUGUUUCAGGCUCCGGGAAAACAGCGAACAAAAUAAAAACAAAUUGGCUGCUUU